CAGUAGCCGCGGUAAUACGAAGGGGGCUAGCGUUGUUCGGAAUUACUAGGCGUAAAGCGCACGUAGGCGGAUACUUAAGUCAGGGGUGAAAUCCCGGGGCUCAACCCCGGAACUGCCUUUGAUACUGGGUAUCUCGAGUCCGGAAGAGGUGAGUGGAAUUCCGAGUGUAGAGGUGAAAUUCGUAGAUAUUCGGAGGAACACCAGUGGCGAAGGCGGCUCACUGGUCCGGUACUGACGCUGAGGUGCGAAAGCGUGGGGAGCAAACAGGAUUAGAUCCCCCGUAGUCCCUGUCUCUUAUACA
RNAcentral lists this ribosomal RNA (301 nucleotides) under uncultured bacterium. RNAcentral describes it as "partial 16S ribosomal RNA". It matches the Rfam family "Bacterial small subunit ribosomal RNA", at positions 509 to 808 of the family's 1533-position model. The record is from RNAcentral.